UACGUAGGUGGCAAGCGUUGUCCGGAUUUAUUGGGUUUAAAGGGUGCGUAGGCGGUCCUAUAAGUCAGUGCUGAAAUAUCCCGGCUUAACCGGGAGGGUGGCAUUGAUACUGUAGGACUUGAGUAGAGUUGAGGUUGGCGGAAUUGACGGUGUAGCGGUGAAAUGCUUAGAUAUCGUCAAGAACACCGAUAGUGUAGACAGCUAACUAGGCUGUAACUGACGCUGAGGCACGAAAGCGUGGGGAGCGAACAGG
This 253-nucleotide ribosomal RNA is filed under the name uncultured bacterium. Its description in RNAcentral is "partial 16S ribosomal RNA". It matches the Rfam family "Bacterial small subunit ribosomal RNA", at positions 524 to 776 of the family's 1533-position model. The record is from RNAcentral.